This 253-nucleotide ribosomal RNA is filed under the name uncultured prokaryote. RNAcentral's name for it is "partial 16S ribosomal RNA". It matches the Rfam family "Bacterial small subunit ribosomal RNA", at positions 524 to 776 of the family's 1533-position model. The record is from RNAcentral.
UACGUAGGGACCAAGCGUUGUUCGGAUUUACUGGGCGUAAAGGGUGCGUAGGUGGCGUCGUAAGUCGGGUGUGAAAUCUCGGGGCUUAACUCCGAAACUGCAUUCGAUACUGCGGUGCUUGAGGACUGGAGAGGAGACUGGAAUUUACGGUGUAGCAGUGAAAUGCGUAGAUAUCGUGAGGAAGACCAGUUGCGAAGGCGGAUCUCUGGGCAGUUCCUGACACUGAGGCACGAAGGCCAGGGGAGCAAACGGG